CGAUGCAACGCGAAAACCUUACCUACCUUUGACAUGUACGGAAUUCGCCAGAGAUGGCUUAGUGCUCGAAAGAGAACCGUAACACAGGUGCUGCAUGGCUGUCGUCAGCUCGUGUCGUGAGAUGUUGGGUUAAGUCCCGCAACGAGCGCAACCCUUGUCAUUAGUUGCUACAUUUAGUUGGGCACUCUAAUGAGACUGCCGGUGACAAACCGGAGGAAGGUGGGAUGACGUCAAGUCAGCAUGGCCUUUAUAUCCUGGGCUACACACACGCUACAAUGGGAAGGGACAAUAGGUUGCGAAACCGCGAGGUGGAGCCAAUCCAGCAAAACUUCCCUCAGUUCAGAUUGCAGGCUGCAACUCGCCUGCAUGAAGUUGGAGUUGCUAGUAAACGCAGGUCAGCCAUACUGCGUUGAAUACGUUCCCGGGGCUU
Molecule: ribosomal RNA, 430 nt
Filed under: uncultured Polaromonas sp.
Lineage: Bacteria; Pseudomonadati; Pseudomonadota; Betaproteobacteria; Burkholderiales; Comamonadaceae
Description: bacterial SSU rRNA
Rfam family: Bacterial small subunit ribosomal RNA
Source: RNAcentral